UUCCUUUUUUCUAUAAUUCUGAAUAUUCAAUAAAAAAUGAUUUAAAAAUAGAUUGAGGGUAUAAUUGUAUUUCGAUUUAACAAAAACUAUCGUUCCCCAUUUUUACUCCAUUAAUUAAUAGGUUUACCCACCCCCACCAACAAUUUUCAAUCAUUCACCAAAUCCUACCCCAAAAAUUUUUCAUCGGCGGCUGAUCAACACCAGAAUGUUAAAUUUGACUUGAAUCUCCCACUACAAUCAUGAAGGUGAUUAAGGAAUCCUGGGAGAAGCAGACAACACUAAGAUCACCAAGCAAGAAUUGGAUUUCCUCUUGGAUGAAGAGCAGUAUUAAGAUGAAGUGUUGUAUUUGUAUGUCAUUUAUGUUUGUUCAGAAAAGUUGUAUUGUUAUUCGACAUUUUAUAGUGACAUAUUCGUUUUAAUAUGAAUAGUGGAUUGCUUUAAAUUAUUGUAGAUUUAUAUAACAUUUAUUUUUAUUUAGAAUAUUUGUAUUGUUAUUCGACAUCUUAUAAUGACAUAUUCAUUAAAUAUGAAA
Long non-coding RNA from Salvia miltiorrhiza (redroot sage), 532 nucleotides. RefSeq lists it as uncharacterized. NCBI's taxonomy places the organism in Eukaryota, Viridiplantae, Streptophyta, Magnoliopsida, Lamiales, Lamiaceae. The transcript is spliced from 2 exons. The record is from RefSeq and is a predicted model, not a curated record.